AGUCGAACGCGUCUCCGUUGAUGAUUUUAGGUGCUUGCACUUGAAAGAUUUAACAUUGAGACGAGUGGCGAACUGGUGAGUAACACGUGGGUAACCUGCCCUUGAAGUAGGGGAUAACACUUGGAAACAGGUGCUAAUACCGUAUAACAACCAAAACCACCUGGUUUUGGUUUAAAAGACGGCUUCGGCUGUCACUUUAGGAUGGACCCGCGGCGUAUUAGCUUGUUGGUAAGGUAACGGCCUACCAAGGCGAUGAUACGUAGCCGACCUGAGAGGGUAAUCGGCCACAUUGGGACUGAGACACGGCCCAAACUCCUACGGGAGGCAGCAGUAGGGAAUCUUCCACAAUGGACGAAAGUCUGAUGGAGCAACGCCGCGUGAGUGAUGAAGGGUUUCGGCUCGUAAAACUCUGUUGUUGGAGAAGAACAGGUGUCAGAGUAACUGUUGACAUCUUGACGGUAUCCAACCAGAAAGCCACGGCUAACUACGUGCCAGCAGCCGCGGUAAUACGUAGGUGGCAAGCGUUGUCCGGAUUUAUUGGGCGUAAAGCGAGCGCAGGCGGUUUUUUAGGUCUGAUGUGAAAGCCUUCGGCUUAACCGGAGAAGUGCAUCGGAAACCGGGAGACUUGAGUGCAGAAGAGGACAGUGGAACUCCAUGUGUAGCGGUGAAAUGCGUAGAUAUAUGGAAGAACACCAGUGGCGAAGGCGGCUGUCUGGUCUGUAACUGACGCUGAGGCUCGAAAGCAUGGGUAGCGAACAGGAUUAGAUA
This 768-nucleotide ribosomal RNA is filed under the name Lentilactobacillus buchneri. RNAcentral describes it as "bacterial SSU rRNA". It matches the Rfam family "Bacterial small subunit ribosomal RNA", at positions 60 to 784 of the family's 1533-position model. Lineage: Bacteria; Bacillati; Bacillota; Bacilli; Lactobacillales; Lactobacillaceae. The record is from RNAcentral.